UACGGAGGGAGCAAGCGUUGUUCGGAUUUACUGGGCGUAAAGGGCGCGUAGGCGGUCAGCACAAGUCAGUUGUGAAAUCUCCGGGCUUAACUCGGAAAGGUCAACUGAUACUGUGCGACUAGAGUGCGGAAGGGGCAACUGGAAUUCUCGGUGUAGCGGUGAAAUGCGUAGAUAUCGAGAGGAACACCUGCGGCGAAGGCGGGUUGCUGGGCCGACACUGACGCUGAUGCGCGAAAGCCAGGGGAGCGAACAGG
This 254-nucleotide ribosomal RNA is filed under the name uncultured bacterium. RNAcentral's name for it is "partial 16S ribosomal RNA". It matches the Rfam family "Bacterial small subunit ribosomal RNA", at positions 524 to 776 of the family's 1533-position model. The record is from RNAcentral.